This 253-nucleotide ribosomal RNA is filed under the name uncultured bacterium. RNAcentral's name for it is "partial 16S ribosomal RNA". It matches the Rfam family "Bacterial small subunit ribosomal RNA", at positions 524 to 776 of the family's 1533-position model. The record is from RNAcentral.
UACGUAGGUGGCAAGCGUUAUCCGGAUUUAUUGGGUGUAGAGGGCGUGUAGGCGGGAAUGCAAGUCAGAUGUGAAAACUCAGGGCUCAACCCUGAGCCUGCAUUUGAAACUGUAUUUCUUGAGUGCUGGAGAGGCAAUCGGAAUUCCGUGUGUAGCGGUGAAAUGCGUAGAUAUACGGAGGAACACCAGUGGCGAAGGCGGAUUGCUGGACAGUAACUGACGCUGAGGCGCGAAAGCGUGGGGAGCAAACAGG